Molecule: ribosomal RNA, 301 nt
Filed under: uncultured bacterium
Lineage: Bacteria
Description: partial 16S ribosomal RNA
Rfam family: Bacterial small subunit ribosomal RNA
Source: RNAcentral
CAGCCGCCGCGGUAAUACGUAGGGGGCAAGCGUUAUCCGGAUUUACUGGGUGUAAAGGGAGCGCAGACGGCUCUGCAAGUCUGAAGUGAAAGCCCGCGGCUUAACCGCGGGACUGCUUUGGAAACUGCAAGGCUUGAGUAUCGGAGGGGCAGGCGGAAUUCCUAGUGUAGCGGUGAAAUGCGUAGAUAUUAGGAAGAACACCGGUGGCGAAGGCGGCCUGCUGGACGAAAACUGACGUUGAGGCUCGAAGGCGUGGGGAGCAAACAGGAUUAGAUACCCGCGUAGUCCCUGUCUCUUAUAC